UACGUAGGUGGCAAGCGUUGUCCGGAUUUACUGGGCGUAAAGAGCGCGCAGGCGGUCGUUCAAGUCGCGUGUGAAAGCCCCCGGCUCAACUGGGGAGGGUCACGCGAUACUGAUCGACUCGAAGGCAGGAGAGGGUAGUGGAAUUCCCGGUGUAGUGGUGAAAUGCGUAGAUAUCGGGGAGGAACACCAGUGGCGAAGGCGACUACCUGGCCUGUUCUUGACGCUGAGGUGCGAAAGCGUGGGGAGCAAACAGGG
This 255-nucleotide ribosomal RNA is filed under the name uncultured bacterium. Its description in RNAcentral is "partial 16S ribosomal RNA". It matches the Rfam family "Bacterial small subunit ribosomal RNA", at positions 524 to 777 of the family's 1533-position model. The record is from RNAcentral.